This 127-nucleotide non-coding RNA is filed under the name Anopheles gambiae (African malaria mosquito). RNAcentral's name for it is "eukaryotic large subunit ribosomal RNA". It matches the Rfam family "Eukaryotic large subunit ribosomal RNA", at positions 2857 to 2984 of the family's 3401-position model. The record is from Rfam by way of RNAcentral. Lineage: Eukaryota; Metazoa; Arthropoda; Insecta; Diptera; Culicidae.
GAUUCGUGGCUUUUUGUUCCUUCAGUGUCGGCUCUUUCUAUCAUUGUGAAGCAAAAUUCACCAAGCUUAGGAUUGUUCACCCUUUCAAGGGAAUGUGAGCUGGGUUUAGACCGUCGUGAGACAGGUU